Molecule: transfer RNA, 67 nt
Filed under: Marmota monax (woodchuck)
Lineage: Eukaryota; Metazoa; Chordata; Mammalia; Rodentia; Sciuridae
Description: tRNA.Ala
Source: RNAcentral
GGUUGUGGCUCAGUGUCAGAGCGCUUGCCUAGCAUGUGUGAGGCACUGGGUUCGAUUCUUAGCACCG